AGCAGCCGCGGUAAUUCCAGCUCCAAUAGCGUAUAUUAAAGUUGUUGCAGUUAAAAAGCUCGUAGUUGAAUUUCGGGAUCAGACUGUCGGUUGUGCCUCGGUACACACUGGCAUUAUUGGUUCCUACCUUCUGAAGAACCGCGAUGUCAUUAAUUUGGUGUCGUGGGGAAUCAGGACUGUUACUUUGAAAAAAUUAGAGUGUUUAAAGCAGGCGCACGCUUGAAUACAUUAGCAUGGAAUAAUGAAAUAGGACGUUUGAUUCUAUUUUGUUGGUUUCUAGGAUCGACGUAAUGAUUAAUAGGGAUAGUUGGGGGCAUUAGUAUUCAAUUGUCAGAGGUGAAAUUCUUGGAUUUAUUGAAGACUAACUACUGCGAAAGCAUUUGCCAAGGAUGUUUUCAUUAAUCAAGAACGAAAGUUAGGGGAUCGAAGACGAAUCAGAUACCGUCGUAGUCUUAACCAUAAACUAUGCCGACUAGGGAUCGGAUGAUGUUAAUUUUUUAAUGACUCAUUCGGCGCCUUA
Molecule: small RNA, 520 nt
Filed under: uncultured Glomus
Lineage: Eukaryota; Fungi; Glomeromycota; Glomeromycetes; Glomerales; Glomeraceae
Description: SSU rRNA
Rfam family: Eukaryotic small subunit ribosomal RNA
Source: RNAcentral